RNAcentral lists this ribosomal RNA (301 nucleotides) under uncultured bacterium. Its description in RNAcentral is "partial 16S ribosomal RNA". It matches the Rfam family "Bacterial small subunit ribosomal RNA", at positions 509 to 809 of the family's 1533-position model. The record is from RNAcentral.
CAGUCGCCGCGGGAAUACGUAGGUGGCAAGCGUUGUCCGGAAUUAUUGGGCGUAAAGCGCGCGCGGGCGGAUAGGUCAGUCUGUCUUAAAAGUUCGGGGCUUAACCCCGUGAUGGGAUGGAAACUGCCAAUCUAGAGUAUCGGAGAGGAAAGUGGAAUUCCUAGUGUAGCGGUGAAAUGCGUAGAUAUUAGGAAGAACACCAGUGGCGAAGGCGACUUUCUGGACGAAAACUGACGCUGAGGCGCGAAAGCCAGGGGAGCGAACGGGAUUAGAUACCCGUGUAGUCCCUGUCUCUUAUACA